GUUACUAUUUAAGUCUAUGCAGGAAUGCGCCUUUGACGCGUCUGUUUUGCUGAAACUCCGCGCAUGCGCGAAUGCGAAAGUGAACUCGACGGGAAAGUUUUGAAGACUUAAAAAACGCUAUAAACAUCUCAUUAAGGACUGAAGUCAGUUUCUCAUUAUGGGGAACGGAGAGAGCAGUGAGAGAUCUUCAUCUGCUGAUCCCAGCUACGUGUCUGUGAGGGGUGACAGAUCAAUAACUGUUCCUCCUAAAUUCAGUGAUGAUCCAGUGACCUCUGACCCCAGAGUGUCUGACCUAUACGCAGAUAAAUCAGAUGAUGGUCUAGCGAGGAUUUUAGUGGAAACCCAGAACGUCUACUACACUGGCUUCAUUUCGAUGCUUGGCCACUAGAGCUCAAGACGUGUUAAAGGACAAAGUGGAUGACGACUAUGGUGUGGACUGGGAGGGACCACACUCCUUUGAGGAAAAGGGUGUGACCAUCCCAGAGGUUCAACUACCAAGAGAGCUAACCAAUGAGGAAAUUGCAACCUUGCCUCAUCCUGAAGUUCCAUUAAUAAAUGCUGUUAAAAUUUA
Cyprinus carpio (common carp) is the source of this 571-nucleotide long non-coding RNA. RefSeq lists it as uncharacterized. The record is from RefSeq and is a predicted model, not a curated record. The transcript has 4 exons. Lineage: Eukaryota; Metazoa; Chordata; Actinopteri; Cypriniformes; Cyprinidae.